Molecule: long non-coding RNA, 581 nt
Organism: Diorhabda carinulata
Lineage: Eukaryota; Metazoa; Arthropoda; Insecta; Coleoptera; Chrysomelidae
Exons: 3
Source: RefSeq, a predicted model, not a curated record
UUCAAAAUGACAUUAUCCUAUAUUAUGUUGACUGGACGUAGCUUUAUCUACUCUGUUUUAUGGGUACUAUUGUUCAAAAUAUUUUUAUUUUAUUGUUAUAUAUAACAUACAACGUUCAAAUUCUUAUACUGAUGAAUUAGCCAUACAUCCCCAGUCAUCUAGAAAUAUGUCGGGCUAUCUUCAUAACAAGGCGAAGUGUCAAUAAGUCUGACUCGCUUGAAAACCAAAUGUAAGGGCGAAUGAAACAUGCACUAGUAGUAAAACUAUUUAUUAUUACCAUCCUAUACAGAGAGCUCUAUAUUUAAGAAGUGGGAAGUAAAGAAGACAUCUAUUUAAUCUACUAUCAGUUCCUUCUUCUUCUUCUUAUGUUAGGACUAGGUCCUGUAUUUUCAUCAAGGGUUUGCCAGGAGUAAUUGGGAUGCUGAGGACCAGCUUUCAUACCACCUUUUAGGUGGUCGUCCAGGAGGUCGAGUGGAGACUUAAACUUUCAGUUUAAGCCUGAAAAUCUCCCAAUUUUUUACAUAUGGAUAUGCAACUGGAUUUGUCACUACAUACUUAGUCUAGCCAAUGAAGAAUCUAUC